GGGGGGGGUGUGGGCGGUGAUGGCGGAGAUGGGGGUGGUGGGGAAAGCGUACAAAAAUAAUGUGAAAGAGGAGGAUGGGACUAGACUGGUCGGGCAAAACUCGGGUGAAAGUGGGGUGUGCUAGUGGUUUUUUUUUAAUAUAUAUAUUUUUUAUUUUUAGAUCCCUUUGUUGUAAGUGCUAGGAAGAAUGUUGUGCCAUGAUGUUUGACAACAUUGUAUUUGAACCAUGGUCUCAAAACAGACUAGGAAAGUUAUGAUUUUAAG
Molecule: unclassified non-coding RNA, 264 nt
Filed under: Hevea brasiliensis (rubber tree)
Lineage: Eukaryota; Viridiplantae; Streptophyta; Magnoliopsida; Malpighiales; Euphorbiaceae
Source: RNAcentral